This 468-nucleotide ribosomal RNA is filed under the name uncultured bacterium. Its description in RNAcentral is "partial 16S ribosomal RNA". It matches the Rfam family "Bacterial small subunit ribosomal RNA", at positions 28 to 507 of the family's 1533-position model. The record is from RNAcentral.
GAUGAACGCUGGCGGCGUGCUUAACACAUGCAAGUCGAACGGAAAGGCGCAAGCUUGCUUGGGUACUCGAGUGGCGAACGGGUGAGUAACACGUAGGUGAUCUGCCCUGCACUUCGGGAUAAGCCUGGGAAACUGAGUCUAGUACAGGAGAGGACGAUGGUUUGGAUGCCAUUGUGGAAGGUGUUUUCGGUGUGGGAUGAGCUCGCGGCCUGUCUGCUUGUUGGUGGGGUAAUGGCCUAGCAAGGCGUCGCCGGGUGGCCGGGGUGAGAGGGGGUAUGGGCACAUGGGGAGUGAGAUACGGGCCAGAGCAGUGCGGGAUGCAGCAGUGGGGGAGAUUGCAUAAUGCGGGCACGCCGGAUGCAGGGAGGCGGCGUGGGGGAUGACGGCCUCUGUGGUGAAAACUGCUGUCGCUAGGGAUGUGGCGGUUUUUUGACGGUACCUGGAGAAGAAGCACCGGCUAACUACGUG